UUCCGGUUGAUCCUGCCAGAGGCUACUGCUAUCGGGGUCCGACUAAGCCAUGCGAGUUGAGAGGGGUAAGCCCUCGGCAUAUUGCUCAGUAACACGCGGAUAACCUGCCCUUGGGUUCGGGAUAACCCCGGGAAACUGGGACUAAUACCGGAUAGAUCAAAGAAACUGGAAUGUUCUCUGGUCUAAAACUCUGGUGCCCAAGGAUGGGUCUGCGGCCUAUCAGGUAGUAGUGGGUGUAACGUACCUACUAGCCUACGACGGGUAAGGGUUGUGAGAGCAAGAGCCCUGAGAUGGAUUCUGAGACAUGAAUCCAGGCCCUACGGGGUGCAGCAGGCGCGAAAACUUUACACUGCGGGAAACCGCGAUAAGGGGACCCCGAGUGCCAGCACCUAGUGCUGGCUGUCCAGCUGUCCAAAUAACAGUUGUUAGCAAGGGCCGGGCAAGACCGGUGCCAGCCGCCGCGGUAACACCGGCGGCCCGAGUGGUAGCCGUUAUUAUUGGGUUUAAAGGGUCCGUAGCCGGCCUAUUAAGUCUCUUGGGAAAUCUGGCGACUCAAUCGUCAGGCGUCCAAGAGAUACUGGUAGGCUUGGGACCGGGAGAGGUGGGAGGUACUCCAGGGGUAGGGGUGAAAUCUCGUAAUCCUUGGGGGACCACCGAUGGCGAAGGCAUCCCACCAGAACGGGUCCGACGGUGAGGGACGAAAGCUGGGGGCACGAACCGGAUUAGAUACCCGGGUAGUCCCAGCCGUAAACGAUGCUCGCUAGGUGUCAGGUGCGGUGCGACCGCAUCUGGUGCCGCAGUGAAAACUUGAAGCGAGUCACCUGGGAAGUACGGUCGCAAGGCUGAAACUUAAAGGAAUUGGCGGGGGAGCACUACAACGGGUGGAGCCUGCGGUUCAAUUGGAGUCAACGCCGGG
RNAcentral lists this ribosomal RNA (916 nucleotides) under uncultured Green Bay ferromanganous micronodule archaeon ARC3. RNAcentral describes it as "bacterial SSU rRNA". It matches the Rfam family "Archaeal small subunit ribosomal RNA", at positions 1 to 922 of the family's 1478-position model. The record is from RNAcentral. Lineage: Archaea; Methanobacteriati; Methanobacteriota.